Molecule: small RNA, 75 nt
Filed under: Arabidopsis thaliana (thale cress)
Lineage: Eukaryota; Viridiplantae; Streptophyta; Magnoliopsida; Brassicales; Brassicaceae
Description: ATSL099630
Source: RNAcentral
AAAUUUUGAGAUGAAUUUAACCUGGUGUAGGUACCGCCUUUGGGAAAUAUCAGAUAUAGAGAUUUUUGUGGGUUU